This 372-nucleotide ribosomal RNA is filed under the name uncultured organism. RNAcentral describes it as "partial 16S ribosomal RNA". It matches the Rfam family "Bacterial small subunit ribosomal RNA", at positions 527 to 896 of the family's 1533-position model. The record is from RNAcentral.
GAACCGUACAAACGUUAUUCGGAAUUACUGGGCUUAAAGGGUGCGUAGGCGGCUUGGCAAGUUGGGUGUGAAAUCCCUCGGCUCAACCGAGGAACGGCGCCCAAACUGCCAGACUUGAGGGAGACAGAGGUGAGUGGAACUUAGGGUGGAGCGGUGAAAUGCGUUGAUAUCCUAAGGAACACCAGUGGCGAAAGCGACUCACUGGGUCUCUUCUGACGCUGAGGCACGAAAGCUAGGGUAGCGAACGGGAUUAGAUACCCCGGGUAGUCCUAGCUGUAAACGAUGAGCACUGGGUCGGAGAGCCCUCCCAUAGCUUUCCGGCCGAAGCGAAAGUGUUAAGUGCUCCGCCUGGGGAGUAUGGUCGCAAGGCUG